This 495-nucleotide ribosomal RNA is filed under the name uncultured bacterium. Its description in RNAcentral is "partial 16S ribosomal RNA". It matches the Rfam family "Bacterial small subunit ribosomal RNA", at positions 28 to 507 of the family's 1533-position model. The record is from RNAcentral.
GACGAACGCUGGCGGCGUGCCUAAUACAUGCAAGUAGAACGCUGAAGGAGGAGCUUGCUUCUCUGGAUGAGUUGCGAACGGGUGAGUAACGCGUAGGUAACCUGCCUGGUAGCGGGGGAUAACUAUUGGAAACGAUAGCUAAUACCGCAUAAUAGUAGAUGUCGCAUGACAUUUGCUUAAAAGGUGCAAUUGCAUCACUACCAGAUGGACCUGCGUUGUAUUAGCUAGUUGGUGAGGUAACGGCUCACCAAGGCAACGAUACAUAGCCGACCUGAGAGGGGGAUCGGCCCACCUGGGAAUGGGACACGGCCCAGACUCCUACGGGAGGCAGCAGUAGGGAAUCUUCGGCAAUGGACGGAAGUCUGACCGAGCAACGCCGGGUGAGUGAAGAAGGUUUUCGGAUCGUAAAGCUCUGUUGUAAGAGAAGAACGAGUGUGAGAGUGGAAAGUUCACACUGUGACGGUAGCUUACCAGAAAGGGACGGCUAACUACGUG